UACGAAGGGUGCAAGCGUUACUCGGAAUUACUGGGCGUAAAGCGUGCGUAGGUGGUUGUUUAAGUCUGAUGUGAAAGCCCUGGGCUCAACCUGGGAAUGGCAUUGGAUACUGGAUAGCUAGAGUGCGGUAGAGGGUAGUGGAAUUCCCGGUGUAGCAGUGAAAUGCGUAGAGAUCGGGAGGAACAUCCGUGGCGAAGGCGACUGCCUGGGCCAACACUGACACUGAGGCACGAAAGCGUGGGGAGCAAACAGG
Molecule: ribosomal RNA, 253 nt
Filed under: uncultured bacterium
Lineage: Bacteria
Description: partial 16S ribosomal RNA
Rfam family: Bacterial small subunit ribosomal RNA
Source: RNAcentral